Microplitis mediator is the source of this 397-nucleotide long non-coding RNA. RefSeq lists it as uncharacterized. The record is from RefSeq and is a predicted model, not a curated record. Lineage: Eukaryota; Metazoa; Arthropoda; Insecta; Hymenoptera; Braconidae. The transcript has 3 exons.
GACGGAUCACUGGACCACGUGGCUGAAGGUCAAGUCUUAGUUGUCAAUUGUUCUGUUGAAAUAGAUUCAGAUAUAUUGUAUAGUUUAUACUGGACUAAACCUAACCAGGAUCGACGGAUGACAACGAGGUUUUUAAAAAAACCUUUGGGCGUAACUUAUUAUCAAGCUUCGAGUGAAUUGAUGGUUAGUGAUAUCUCUAAAAGUGAUCAGGGUGAAUAUCGAUGUUGUAUUAAUUCUGGAUACAUCAAAAAAUGUGAUACAAAAAAUAUAACUGUAAAUGAUUCUCAACACUAAUGUUUCAACAUAAAAUAUAAAGAUAAGGAUGAAAAUUUUUCUAAGGAAUGUCAUAAAACAUUAGUAUUAAUGACGAAAGUUGAUGAAAUUUAGAUGCAAUGAG